Long non-coding RNA from Myotis davidii, 991 nucleotides. RefSeq lists it as uncharacterized. The transcript is spliced from 3 exons. The record is from RefSeq and is a predicted model, not a curated record. NCBI's taxonomy places the organism in Eukaryota, Metazoa, Chordata, Mammalia, Chiroptera, Vespertilionidae.
GUCCUGCCCUCUCCCCUGACUCCCUCCUGGCGUCACUCAGCUGAGAGGAGGAACCGGGCGCUGUGCCAGGGGGACAGGAGCACCUGAGCCUGCUCAGGGCCUGGUUGGCAGGGGGCGCCCAGGGUGGGGAAGAGUGCAGCUCAGGAGCCCGGGCCGGGGCUGGUGCCCAGAGGGGAAACGGCCAGGCGGGUCCGUGGCGAGGGAUGAGGGCGUGAAUCGGCGGCAGAGAGGUCGGCUGCUGGUGGGUCAGGAGCCGGGAUGGACGGGAUGGACCCGCUGGGCCUGCUCUGCUGGAGGCCUGCCCGCGAGGACUUCAGUCCCCACCCGCGGCGGGGCCAGGGGCAGGGUGACUCAGCACUUCCUCUUAGUGACUAAGGCCAACCCGGGCCCAGCCAGCAGGGCUGCGCUGCUCAGGCACCUGUCCUCCUGGCCCCUGGCUCAUUGUAUGUGGCACAAGGGAUGUACAGUCACCCCAGGAUUAAUGGUCUUUCCUUUCUUUUUUAAACUUGGGCCCACAGCCUGAACUGGGCCGGCUCUGGGCUGGCGCCAGCUACUUCAUCUGCUCUUACUCAUCAGUAACCUUCACUGGCGAUCGAUCGCUAGGCGCCAACUUGUGCGAAAAACUUCCUGGGACUUUCUCAGAAGCAGCCACGAGCUGUGAUGUUCCCAGAAACUAACCCUGAACCUGACCGCCUACCUGGCAGGUGAGACGUGUGAUCCCUGAACCGCCAGAUCUUUCCAGUCUAGAGUAAGAGAAGGACAUGAACUGCACGACUCAUCUGGUUAAGCUCACCUUUCUGUGGAAAUGAAAGACACAGCCCCGAACCAGAGUUCAGCUAUAGCUACUGGCGAUCGCUAAGCUAAUUCAACAGCUACAGCCACGGAAACGUCGCCACGGCCGCCGAGGGGAAUUCGGGGAAAAGCUCUUCACCGGGAUUUCUGCAGCCGCCAGCGCCCGCUCUCACCCACGCCGCUCCUCGCCUCUGUUAGC